UUUUGAAACGUAAUGCUCUUACAUUAUCAAAGAUUUUUUAGAAUCAAUAUUUUGAGAGUUACAUAUUCGAUUUAUAAUGUAAGGUAUUUAUCUAAUAUUAUUAAUUAACAAUUUCACUAAAAUUGAAUAUUAUGUGUUGUUUAUAUUAUGGGAAAAUUACAUUCACUCUGUCUGAGGAUUGUUAAAAUGACACUCACAUCC
Molecule: long non-coding RNA, 201 nt
Filed under: Lathyrus oleraceus (garden pea)
Lineage: Eukaryota; Viridiplantae; Streptophyta; Magnoliopsida; Fabales; Fabaceae
Description: Pisum sativum (pea) long non-coding RNA (PSAT_LNC030800)
Source: RNAcentral